UACAGAGGGUGCGAGCGUUGUUCGGAAUUACUGGGCGUAAAGCGCGCGCAGGCGGCUCUUUAAGUCUACCCGUGAAAUGCCGGAGCUCAACUCCGCGCACGCCGGGGGAUACUGGAGAGCUGGAGACAUGUAGAGGCAAGCGGAAUUCCGGGUGUAGCGGUGGAAUGCGUAGAGAUCCGGAAGAACACCGGAGGCGAAGGCGGCUUGCUGGGCAUGGUCUGACGCUGAGGCGCGAAAGCGUGGGGAGCGAACAGG
This 255-nucleotide ribosomal RNA is filed under the name uncultured bacterium. RNAcentral describes it as "partial 16S ribosomal RNA". It matches the Rfam family "Bacterial small subunit ribosomal RNA", at positions 524 to 776 of the family's 1533-position model. The record is from RNAcentral.